AAACCCAGAGCCAGGUUACAAUGCAUACCACUGGCACCUGUGUGUCACAAUGGCUAGCUUUGAGAUGUUGGGUGUUAGAUAACUCAGUUCAGUGAAACCACAUUUCUGAGGAGGUCUGCUCUACAGAUUAUUAAACCCCAAGGACUAGGACAUGCUCCUUUGCUUACCAGACUGGCCUGAACCAAAACUAUGUCAUCUUACUAUCUUCCCUUGUCUUCUUUAGGUAAAGACACUUAGUCUAAUCAGGCUACUAGGCAAUGCAGAAUCCCAUUCUGAUUUGUACUUAUGGCUUGCUAGAACUAAGAAUUACAAAUGGACUACCAAGUACAAUGGUCAACAUGGCUGGCAGCACCUGAGGUAAAAACUCUGGCGUUCAACAUCUUUAUUUAAUUUGAUCAACCUUACAUAUAUCUGAAAUGGACUCAGGACUGUUUGUAUAUACCACUAAAAUAACAACCAACAAACCAAACAAGGGGAAUGAAGAUGGAGCUCAGGAUUUGUUUGCGACUCUUCCUCCUACCAUCAAACACCGCAGUCAUAAUAAUACGGAUAAUUCCCCUUCCUGUUUAACUCAA
Molecule: non-coding RNA, 575 nt
Organism: Myodes glareolus (Bank vole)
Lineage: Eukaryota; Metazoa; Chordata; Mammalia; Rodentia; Cricetidae
Source: RefSeq, a predicted model, not a curated record